RNAcentral lists this ribosomal RNA (300 nucleotides) under uncultured Rhodococcus sp. RNAcentral describes it as "bacterial SSU rRNA". It matches the Rfam family "Bacterial small subunit ribosomal RNA", at positions 114 to 415 of the family's 1533-position model. Lineage: Bacteria; Bacillati; Actinomycetota; Actinomycetes; Mycobacteriales; Nocardiaceae. The record is from RNAcentral.
CACGUGGGUGAUCUGCCCUGCACUUCGGGAUAAGCCCGGGAAACUGGGUCUAAUACCGGAUAGUACUGCGCGGUGCAUGCCGUGUGGUGGAAAGAUUUAUCGGUGCAGGAUGGGCCCGCGGCCUAUCAGCUUGUUGGUGGGGUAAUGGCCUACCAAGGCGACGACGGGUAGCCGGCCUGAGAGGGCGACCGGCCACACUGGGACUGAGACACGGCCCAGACUCCUACGGGAGGCAGCAGUGGGGAAUUUUCCGCAAUGGGCGAAAGCCUGACGGAGCAAUACCGCGUGAGGGAUGACGGC